GCGGAUGUGGCGGAAUUGGCAGACGCGCACGGUUCAGGUCCGUGUGACCACCAGUCAUGAGGGUUCGAGUCCCUCCAUCCGCACCA
This 86-nucleotide transfer RNA is filed under the name Mogibacterium timidum. Its description in RNAcentral is "tRNA-Leu(cag)". It matches the Rfam family "tRNA". Rfam says of the family: Transfer RNA (tRNA) molecules are approximately 80 nucleotides in length. Their secondary structure includes four short double-helical elements and three loops (D, anti-codon, and T loops). The record is from RNAcentral. RNAcentral also lists the same sequence under 2 other names. Lineage: Bacteria; Bacillati; Bacillota; Clostridia; Peptostreptococcales; Anaerovoracaceae.